AGGGAAACUUACUGCUGUACGCAUCACACCUUCCACUUGGGGUUCCCAACGGUCGCGUACUGUACGCGUGUCAGCCACCGCGACCUCGGCCGCUCCCUUGCGCGUGCGCGGCUGCCGGCGCCAUCCCCGCCGCCAGUCCCUCUCUGGACGGCGCGGGCGACACCGGUCUCCGGGCGGCGUGACCGGUCUCCCUUUUUUCCCCAUCGAGGCCACCUCGGCAGCAGCAGCUACAGCCGGCGGUCAUCGCGGGGACGACGGACAUGGUAGCAGGAGCAGCAGGUGGUCGCUGCUUCCAGGUCGCGCUUCAUCUCCUCCGCCUUCCUCCGCUUGCCCCUUCUCCCCGCCAGCGAGCUCCCGGGAAGGAGGCCGCUCUCCUCCGUUUCUUUUUUCCCCCUCCCGUCUUGCAUCCUCUCUCUCUCUUCUUUUCUAUCCAAGAAGUCAACGACAACGCACCAACACAGGCGGAGGCUUUCAAAAGCCACGAGGAGCGGAGGAAGACACGAUAUUGGAGGUCAGCCACGGCAGAUGCAGCAGACUUGAUGGAUGCAGCAGACUUGAUGGCGAGGAGGGCUUCUGGGGUGCGAGGUGCGUGACCGUCACCUCCAUCUUGCCCCUUGAAAUUCAGCGCCGUGUCUGGUGGGUUUCUGCCUCCUCGGCCCAUGGCUCUUGGUCAGCAGACGGGGGAGGCUCCACCACUACUGUAGACUACAACGAGGUGAGGCUAUCCAUGGUGUGGUCACAUCCAUGCUUGGAGAGCGAUGGAUGGCGCAAAGAAGGGGAUGCCUGGAAGUUCAUGGCUUUGGCUCCGUCGACCUCCCUCGUGGAGGAACGGCCGGGAUGGAAAUCGAGCUGGUGAACCUUCAACUAGAAGGCUUUGUUUUGACCAGCAGCGAGCAAGGAGAGGAUCGGCAUCGGCCAGCUGGCAUCAGGGAGGAGCUGCGGUAACAACCAGGCAGCAGGGAGGGGCAGCCAAAGCUAUCGGGUGGCACGGACCAGUAGUAUCGAAGCAGCUGCAAGCCAACUACAGCGUCUCAGUCUCCCAGCGCUUGCUGGCGUAGUACGGCUAUGUGUCGGGUCAGUUCAGGGUUGGAGCGUGACGAGGAGAUGCAGCAGGUGCCGGAGACGGGAGGCAGCCUGCAUUGUCAUGCGGGAGGGGCGACAGUGAUAACAAUAAGCUUCUUGAGCAUUGCGAGGUGCUAUAAACUUUAGCUGUUUUGGAUCUUCUGAAAACGAAAAGAUGUGGUUGUGGAGCUGACCCAGGUGGCAAAGAAGAACACCAACGACCUGAUGGACGUGCAGCUGUAUAUGCACUUCUUAUGCUCACAUUUUCUUCUGAAAACGGAACGAGAUGGAUUUAUGAUAUAUCACAUUAUCAUCAAGAGAAAGAACUUAAUGGACACUCCCAAGGAUAUUCAGGGUUCCUUAUAUAGAAUAUUAUUCGAUCUUAUGCUAAAAACAUGGUCUUUCAAAGGCUGAGUACCAUCUUGAAUUAUAAGAAGAUAGCAAAGUUCGUGUGAAUUGCUCUUUAAUGCAUCUACAUGGUUCCUGUGAACAUGUCGAUGUCUGGAGCCCAGUCCAAUGAUUUAUGAAAUAGCAAAGAAAGUUGCUGGCAAGCUCAAGGGCCCAACAUUAUCUGGGUAGUUCAACGAAGAAACAAUCCGGUGGUUUGCAAUCAAAGACAACAUAUGAGCUCCCAGUUUCAAAGCUUUAUAUUCAGCAAUUUUGAUUUAUGACAGUUCGGCCUGCAUCAGCGCUGCGAGCCGGCAGCGCUGCAGGUGGCGCUCCCCACCUCCGGCACCGUAACGCAUUUGUAGGGGCGUGACAUCUCGUGGUGCCCAUCUCCUGGUCGAGAUGUACCUACUGUACUCCACGCUAGAGAUGACUGAUCUGAGGGCUGAGCUUCAGUACGUCAACGCCUCGGUGCUCCAUCUGCUCGCCUUUUCACAUCCUCCAAGCCAGCUGGAGCUGGGAGGCUUUCAGCAUUGGAUGGACUUUUCAACCAGUGAACUGUAUUGUUACAUGUGAACUAACAAACAUUCAGUUAAUUGAGGUUAGAUUUGUAUAGCUUCUAUUGAUGAUUAUCCAACUAUGUUGCAUGGUGUGAUGUGUGCAAUCUGGCAAUGAGGUGAAAAACAUGUCUUCACUGAAAUCCAUUAGGAACUUUAGUGAGUCAAAACAAUUUUUCCUAUAUACUAAAAUAGUGAGCUCUAAAAUAUCCUGUUUAAUAUUAUCUGGUAGUGCCAUCACUCGAAAUCACUUGAGCAUCCGUUUCUUCUCAGGUGCAGUGGAAACUGUGCGCUGCUGUGUGGUUUGGAUGGCUGACGCCUGAACCAGUGGUUGGCUGGUUGAGGUUGGUUCCAGACACAUUUUCUCCAUCCCCUUUCCCGAUCCAGGGUUGCGUUGUUCUUGAUCCCAAGUUGUGCUUUUUAGUCUGUUUCUAAUGUGAGCUUGUGACUGUUCUUUGUACAGGUUCACGUGGAACCACUGUGUUUGUGUUUGCUCUUUUACUCUGAAUCAUGCAUGCUUUGGUUUCGAUGUUUGUAUAGUUACUGAUCUCUAUAUUUUUGGCUUUGUAGUUCAGUGUACUGAUUUUCUCUUCCAUUUUGUCGGUUCUUUGUAACUGUAAAUUAUUUGGCCAUUUCUCAAUGCAAAAAUAUAUUAUUUUGCCCGUGCCUUAAAGCUGGAUCUAAUCUUAGUAAAAUAAUUACCAAAAUUAAUGUUAUAAUAGCAGUUCUAGCAGUGUAUAUUACUGAAUGAAUAUUUAAAAUUUUGAGAAUAUUGUUUCCUUUAAAAUAAUAAAUAGAUAGUAUAUAUGAAUGUCGUGUUGGAUCAGAAAUCAUGUUUCAAAUGGACUUCAGCUAAUGUGAACUGGGAUCAGUAUUCGCUUUGGACAGGAUUUUUUGAUAUCGCAGCCAAGUAUGAUAUAUGCUUGUGUUCCAACAAAUUUUCUGAAAAAGGAACUUUCAGUGAGUAUUUGCCAGAUAUUGUCAGUACUUGAUUCACACCACGAGGUAAUAAAGUUUGUCCACUGUUUUUUUCCUCCUUUUGUUUGGCAGGAUUAUUUUAGGUUCCUUUUCUUCGACCUGCUUUGGUGUUAUAGCAGUACAACACAAAAAAAUGCGUAAUUAUGAUUGUUCUUCUGCAUGUUAAACGGGCAUGCUUCUCUUUCACUGAGAAGAGGGACAUUCAAAAUCUAAAAGGAAUUGAUGCAUACGAACUGAAUAUUCUGCAAGCAAACUACGAAGAAAAUUGGCAAAUAUGCUUGUUAGUCUUGUUUCAGUCGGGAAGUGUGCAAAUAUCUAUAGUUGACUUCCAAAGAAGCUGCAAACAGGAAUGAUUUGUGCAUGGAUCAGUAGAAUCAACCUAACAUUUAACAGUGCAUUGGGCAAAACCUUAGGCUUGCAUGUUUAUGGACCUCAUGUAUAAGAAACAAUUGAUAUACCAUCCCAUUUAUGUGCUUAGUAGGUUUGUUAAUUCUGAAGCUUUUGUAAUUCUCAAAAGAAAAAUCCCCGUUAUACAAAAUUUAUAUUGGUAAGAGCUCCACGGGAUCGUGAGCCAAGGCGAACAUCUAAAUCUAGUACGCUCUAAAGCUGCCUAUCAGCAAGCCAAGUUGGAAAUACUCAGCCGCAUCGUUGCUUGGUUAAUCUAUGUAUGCUAUGUGAGCCAAAAAAAAUAUAAACGGAAGGGACUGUGUGAGGGCUUACUAGCGAGGACUGCUGGCGACGACGAUCGCUUCUGCGGGAAUCUGGAGGCGGAUCCAUACUUGAGACGAAGAGGAUGCCGAACGCGGCCUAACACGGACCAUUGAUUGGUAUGCGCGAAGGUUCACGCGGGAAUUGAAGCCUGCGGAUGGUCAAGAGAGAGGUAGGUUCGGAAGGGGUUAUCUUUGGCUGCUAGGUCCUGCAGGGGCGGAGCCAGCUUUCAAUCUUGAGGGGGGCAAAAUAGUGUUGUAAACUUCAUGAGGGGGGCAGAGUAAGCUAAAUCAGCAAGAAAUUACAGUUCUAGUGAGUAGUAUUCUUCAUAAAAUCCAAACCAUGGGGGUGGCUGAGCCCCCCCUCGUCCCCCCUUGUCUCCGUCCCUGAGGUCCUGGCUAUGGCCUAGCUGGGCCAGAAAGUUCAGUUUAUUUUUCUCUCCUCAUACAUGUCGAUGUACCUAACACAUGUCAGGCUGAUGUUUCUCCUCUGGCAGGUGAUUGGUAUGCUAUACCGUGUAUUCUCCAUUUAUUUCUGUUUCUUGUGAUUUUUAUUGGUUCACAAGUGUGAUGUUGUUCUUUUGAUUCUGGAUUUUUUUG
Long non-coding RNA from Lolium perenne, 4291 nucleotides. RefSeq lists it as uncharacterized. The record is from RefSeq and is a predicted model, not a curated record. NCBI's taxonomy places the organism in Eukaryota, Viridiplantae, Streptophyta, Magnoliopsida, Poales, Poaceae.